RNAcentral lists this ribosomal RNA (944 nucleotides) under Staphylococcus hominis. Its description in RNAcentral is "bacterial SSU rRNA". It matches the Rfam family "Bacterial small subunit ribosomal RNA", at positions 36 to 969 of the family's 1533-position model. Lineage: Bacteria; Bacillati; Bacillota; Bacilli; Caryophanales; Staphylococcaceae. The record is from RNAcentral.
CCCGCAGGGAGCUAUCUGCAGUCGAGCGAACGACGAGGAGCUUGCUCCUUUGACGUUAGCGGCGGACGGGUGAGUAACACGUAGGUAACCUACCUAUAAGACUGGGAUAACUUCGGGAAACCGGAGCUAAUACCGGAUAAUAUUUCGAACCGCAUGGUUCGAUAGUGAAAGAUGGCUUUGCUAUCACUUAUAGAUGGACCUGCGCCGUAUUAGCUAGUUGGUAAGGUAACGGCUUACCAAGGCAACGAUACGUAGCCGACCUGAGAGGGUGAUCGGCCACACUGGAACUGAGACACGGUCCAGACUCCUACGGGAGGCAGCAGUAGGGAAUCUUCCGCAAUGGGCGAAAGCCUGACGGAGCAACGCCGCGUGAGUGAUGAAGGUCUUCGGAUCGUAAAACUCUGUUAUUAGGGAAGAACAAACGUGUAAGUAACUGUGCACGUCUUGACGGUACCUAAUCAGAAAGCCACGGCUAACUACGUGCCAGCAGCCGCGGUAAUACGUAGGUGGCAAGCGUUAUCCGGAAUUAUUGGGCGUAAAGCGCGCGUAGGCGGUUUUUUAAGUCUGAUGUGAAAGCCCACGGCUCAACCGUGGAGGGUCAUUGGAAACUGGAAAACUUGAGUGCAGAAGAGGAAAGUGGAAUUCCAUGUGUAGCGGUGAAAUGCGCAGAGAUAUGGAGGAACACCAGUGGCGAAGGCGACUUUCUGGUCUGUAACUGACGCUGAUGUGCGAAAGCGUGGGGAUCAAACAGGAUUAGAUACCCUGGUAGUCCACGCCGUAAACGAUGAGUGCUAAGUGUUAGGGGGUUUCCGCCCCUUAGUGCUGCAGCUAACGCAUUAAGCACUCCGCCUGGGGAGUACGACCGCAGGUUGAAACUCAAAGGAAUUGACGGGGACCCGCACAAGCGGUGGAGCAUGUGGGUUAAUUCAAAGCACCGCAAGAAC